UAGGGAAUCUUCCGCAAUGGACGCAAGUCUGACGGAGCAACGCCGCGUGAGUGAAGAAGGAUUUCGGUUCGUAAAACUCUGUUGUUAGAGAAGAACAGCGCAUAGAGUAACUGUUAUGCGUGUGACGGUAUCUAACCAGAAAGCCACGGCUAACUACGUGCCAGCAGCCGCGGUAAUACGUAAGGUCCGAGCGUUGUCCGGAAUCAUUGGGCGUAAAGGGUACGUAGGCGGGUAAGCAAGUUAGAAGUGAAAUCCUGUAGCUCAACUACAGUAAGCUUUUAAAACUGCUCAGCUUGAGAUAUGGAAGGGAAAGUGGAAUUCCUAGUGUAGCGGUGAAAUGCGCAGAUAUUAGGAGGAAUACCGGUGGCGAAGGCGACUUUCUGGCCAUAAUCUGACGCUGGGGUACGAAAGCGUGGGUAGCAAACAGG
Molecule: ribosomal RNA, 428 nt
Filed under: Bacteroidota bacterium
Lineage: Bacteria; Pseudomonadati; Bacteroidota
Description: Bacteroidetes bacterium partial 16S ribosomal RNA
Rfam family: Bacterial small subunit ribosomal RNA
Source: RNAcentral